UCCGGGAAAGAGCUCUCAAGUCCGAUUUGUUUGUACGGGGAACAUGUGGUUGCAACCCCCUCUUUAAUUGCCUGUUCGCUUUUUUUGUUUGCAGUGUCGAAAAGGGAGUAAGACAGCAGUUUUAUCAAGAAGUUAUGUGAAAGUUCUGCUAUACAUCUGACAGCCAGGAAUUAUUCUGAAGUACACAUGUCGACCAGAGACAUGGAACAGAGAGGAGAGGUUUUAAAGUACCAGAUGCUUAUCUGAGAUUCCAAUUUGAACUAAAGAAAGCAAUAUAUAAAGAUAUGUAGGAGAAAUAAUCUAUAUGAAUAAAGUUAUGCCACAAAAGGAACUUGUUUUUUUAUAUAUACAGAAUUUGUCAAACGUAUCCAUAACAGAAGAGAUGUAAAUGCAUCCUUUAUAUAGCCUUGCAAUACUGAUGGUAAUAAUUUAUAUAAUUUCUGAGAUGAUAUAGCAGUGCCAUUGGUUUCCCUUUUUCCUUCUUCAAAGAACUUGAUCAUCUGAACUCUUUUUUUUAAAAUUGGAGCCCUGUUCAAGAACAGUUAAAAGAGCAUAUAUAUGCUUAAUUUUCGUUAUUUUUUAGAAUCAUCAUUUUUUUUAAAUGAAUCAGGUUGUACAUUCUACAUAAAAUAUGCCAGUCAACCGUAAAUGUUAACAUCCCAAAAAGGUCUUUAGUAUAUUCAUUUUUCAACUUACAGAAUAUGUCAAAGGUUUAAGCAUCCCAAAC
Molecule: long non-coding RNA, 727 nt
Filed under: Mytilus galloprovincialis (Mediterranean mussel)
Lineage: Eukaryota; Metazoa; Mollusca; Bivalvia; Mytilida; Mytilidae
Source: RNAcentral